This is an unclassified non-coding RNA of Microcebus murinus (gray mouse lemur), 96 nucleotides long. It matches the Rfam family "Y RNA". Rfam says of the family: Y RNAs are components of the Ro ribonucleoprotein particle (Ro RNP), in association with Ro60 and La proteins. The Y RNAs and Ro60 and La proteins are well conserved, but the function of the Ro RNP is not known. NCBI's taxonomy places the organism in Eukaryota, Metazoa, Chordata, Mammalia, Primates, Cheirogaleidae. The record is from Ensembl.
GGCUGGUCCAAUGGUAGUGGGUUAUCAGAACUUAUUAACAUUAGUGUCACUAAAGUUGGUAUUCAACCCCCCACUGCUAAAUUUGUCUGGCUAAAA